UCUACUCACUAACCUUAGAACAACAGGGUUUAUUGACUGGAAGCAGCCGAUCAUGUUGGCUUUGAAAAGGAGUUUGCCCAGAGGGUUUUUUUACUUUCAUGAGUGCAGAGAGUUUUGUGACUUCAGUAAAAUGAUGUAUGAUCCCAGAAACAAGGGUUUCAAGAGCAAAGGGAAGGCUGGCAGCACUGUCACUCGGUUGUGCACAGGAAGCAAAGCAGCACCAGUGUAUUCCGUGGAGCAUUCAUCAGCUCUGCUGAGUUAUUCACCCCGCGCUAAGCAGUGAAUCCUUUCUCUCCGAGAUCCGAGCUGGAAACAGGCUUGUUUCACUGGGCGGAAAUGCCUCUCUGCAGCCUGGGCACCCAACGCGCCAUCGAACCUGCCCCCCCUUCCGUUCCGAGAGCGGAUCUGAAAACAGCAGGGUUAUGAGAACCUCAUGGCUGCGGCACAAACAUAACAGGGUUAUGGGAAUCUGUUAGUUGAGACACAAGCAAACAAAUGGGGGAAGCUAGACAAUUUGUCCCUGAUCUCGUCACACGGUCCCUCUGCUAGUGACUGGGGCUCUGGGAAAGCAGCAAGUCGCUCUGCCUCUGGGUCACAGCCCCAGCCUCGGGUGUGAGGGUCUGUCAGGUUGUGUUAGUAACACGCUGACACUAUCUUGGUGGAGCUGCUGGCCACUGCUAUCCUUGGUUUGAAGGGGCAGACAGCUGAGUGCUGCUGCACUAAUGUUGGGACACAGGGCUGAGCUCCCAUUUGUGGCUGGUUCCUGAGCAGCCAUGGCUGGCUCCUGGCUGAGGCCCUCACGCUCAGCUCUGGGCCCCGCAGUACCAGGAACAGGUUGACCAAGAGGAGCCACCAAACACUCAGGGGGCCGGAGGGGCAGCGUUAUUUGGAAGAGCUGAAUCGGCCUAGCUCGGCCCCAGGGAGGCCUGAUAAGGGCCUAGCACUUACCAGCGACUGGAGGAGGCCCCAGGGUUAGUAACCAGGAGCAAAUAUUAGGACAGAAAAGAGUUAGGCUGAUUAUCAGGACCAGCCUGGCUGCUGGUGGGGUGGAGGAUAUGGAGCUCCCUGCCCAGGGGAGGCUGGGAGCUCUAUCAAUUGGGGCAUUUCACACUGGACUCCACCACACCUGAGCUAGUGUACAAGUGGGGCUGAUCCUACCCUGGCCCACGGGGGCGCAGCAGCUGGGCUGUCUGAUGGGGUCACAGCAGGGCCCUGGCUUCACUCACUCUCCCCUCUGUCCGAUUUCACUCCAUGUCCUUUCCCCUUCCAGGCGGGACGUCCUGGAUCUUGUCGCAGGGAAGCGGAACCGGCUCCAACUUCACGGGCAUUUUAGGGUCUGAUCCAGAGUCCAUUGGAAUCAAUGGAAAGACUCCCAAUGACUUUCGUGGGCUUUGGAUCAAGCCUCUAAUGACCAUGGUUUGGGCCAGGAGGAGCUUCAUUAACUAAACCCAACAGCGAGCAGGUGCCGGCUUGUCCGUAGGCCACCUGGGGAAGUAUUCGUAAGCACAAAAUGCUGGAAAAAAAAGGGAGCUUUAAAAUGACAUCCCCAGCAUGGUCCAUGCACCAGCAGCCUUGCCAAGGACUCUCUAGCUCAGGGUUUUAUACUGCUGCCCAUCCCCAUAGUAUCUGGGCUCUCACAGUGGGGAAUUAGCUGAUAUUAAGCAUUUCCACUCAUAUACAGGAUCUCGCACAUUUCUCUGAUGAUAGUUAAUUAUUACAGCUCUGCUUCUUGCUGAGGUCAGAAUGCUGAGCUUGUGACAUCACAGUCUUUCCUAUAGCAACAAGCUGAUGUUAUAAAGAGAGGAUUGAGCUUACAGCAGGUUCAGACAGAGGGAGAAGCCCAGGACAGAGGAAGCCCUUCUUUAAAGGCAAUACCUGCCCAGGCAAUAUGGGAUGAGAGCAGCAGUGAAUGUUCCUGGUUGUAUAACAAGUUCUUGGUCUGUAUUUGCUCCAGCAGGUGAGUGACUAACACCAGCAGCACGCAGCCCUGCCAGCUGAUUCUGAUCAGGGGUGACGCAGAUGCAAGAGAACCAGGCAGAGAAACUGGAUUAAUCUAAAUCCAAAAGGCCAUGCUGACAGAAGCCACAGACUGUUGAAAUGAUGCUUGUUAAAAUGAGAUGAUGUGGACCAGCAGUUGAAAUGAAAUUAGUGUGAUGGCUCUUAGGCCCAGAGGGAGGACAAACUAAUGAGGGAAACAGGCUAUUCCACCCCCCAUUCCCUGUAUGGGUCCUUAGAGAAAGGGACUUUGGGAGGGGAAGAACAGAAGGAACAGCCGGCGGCUACCAGCGCAAGCUUCACCCUGGUGGCUGCCACCCCACUGUUUCCUGGCGCCCAGGGCCUUUAUCAUCCUGCUCCAGAGAGAAGUCCUGAGACCAGAGCAGGCCAGUGCGAGGGGCCCAGAUGACAUGGCCACCCGACCGGCUCCAGCUGAAUCCCAACCUCCACCUGGGACGACCGUUACCACCAUCUUUGAUACUAUCUGAAAGGCUGUCAAACCUGGGGGAUUUUCCUAAAACCGAUGCAGCAACAGCUCCUGCCCUUCUCAACCAGCGCGCUCUCUUCAGAAAAGGACACACCCCCAUCUUCAACACUGCCUCAGAGACUGUCAAGCAACAGGGGUUUCCCUUUAAAACUCUCUCCAGCUGAAGGGAAAGGCAACAAGGGAUGCUGUACAGUGACAGCUUGACUUCAUACUUUAUA
Malaclemys terrapin pileata is the source of this 2700-nucleotide long non-coding RNA. RefSeq lists it as uncharacterized. The record is from RefSeq and is a predicted model, not a curated record. The transcript is spliced from 3 exons. NCBI's taxonomy places the organism in Eukaryota, Metazoa, Chordata, Testudines, Emydidae.